CUGCCACUGAGGAGUCCAACAAUAGGACGAAACAGCCGUCAAGCAG
Non-coding RNA from Schistosoma rodhaini, 46 nucleotides. Lineage: Eukaryota; Metazoa; Platyhelminthes; Trematoda; Strigeidida; Schistosomatidae. The record is from Rfam.